CCUACGGGAGGCAGCAGUGAGGAAUAUUGGUCAAUGGACGAGAGUCUGAACCAGCCAAGUAGCGUGAAUGAUGACUGCCCUAUGGGUGGUAAACUUCUUUUAUAAAGGAAUAAAACGAGGCACGUGUGCCUUGUUGCAUGUACUUUAUGAAUAAGGAUCGGCUAACUCCGUGCCAGCAGCCGCGGUAAUACGGAGGAUCCGAGCGUUACCCGGAUUUAUGGGGUUAAAGGGGCGCGUGGAGGGGUUGUAAAGUCAGUGGUAAAAGUUUGCGGUUAAACCGUAAAAUGGUAAUGAAUACUGGCAGUUUGAGUACAGUUGAGGUAGGCGGAAUUCGUGGUGUAGCGGUGAAAUGCUUAGAUAUCACGAAGAACACCGAUUGCGAAGGCAGCUUACUAAACUGUGACUGACAUUGAUGCUCGAAAGUGUGGGUAUCAAACAGGAUUAGAUACCCGGGUAGUC
RNAcentral lists this ribosomal RNA (459 nucleotides) under uncultured bacterium. RNAcentral describes it as "partial 16S ribosomal RNA". It matches the Rfam family "Bacterial small subunit ribosomal RNA", at positions 338 to 795 of the family's 1533-position model. The record is from RNAcentral.